RNAcentral lists this ribosomal RNA (467 nucleotides) under uncultured bacterium. Its description in RNAcentral is "partial 16S ribosomal RNA". It matches the Rfam family "Bacterial small subunit ribosomal RNA", at positions 29 to 507 of the family's 1533-position model. The record is from RNAcentral.
ACGAACGCUGGCGGCGUGCUUAACACAUGCAAGUCGAACGGAAAGGCCCUGCUUUUGUGGGGUGCUCGAGUGGCGAACGGGUGAGUAACACGUGAGUAACCUGCCCUUGACUUUGGGAUAACUUCAGGAAACUGGGGCUAAUACCGGAUAGGAGCUCCUGCUGCAUGGUGGGGGUUGGAAAGUUUCGGCGGUUGGGGAUGGACUCGCGGCUUAUCAGCUUGUUGGUGGGGUAGUGGCUUACCAAGGCUUUGACGGGUAGCCGGCCUGAGAGGGUGACCGGCCACAUUGGGACUGAGAUACGGCCCAGACUCCUACGGGAGGCAGCAGUGGGGAAUAUUGCACAAUGGGCGGAAGCCUGAUGCAGCAACGCCGCGUGCGGGAUGACGGCCUUCGGGUUGUAACCCGCUUUCGCCUGUGACGAAGCGUGAGUGACGGUAAUGGGUAAAGAAGCACCGGCUAACUACGUG